RNAcentral lists this ribosomal RNA (776 nucleotides) under uncultured Bacteroidota bacterium. RNAcentral describes it as "bacterial SSU rRNA". It matches the Rfam family "Bacterial small subunit ribosomal RNA", at positions 65 to 845 of the family's 1533-position model. Lineage: Bacteria; Pseudomonadati; Bacteroidota. The record is from RNAcentral.
AGGGGUAUAGGGAGCUUGCUUUCUAGAGACCGGCGCACGGGUGCGUAACGCGUAUGCAAUCUACCUUUUGCAGAGGGAUAGCCCAGAGAAAUUUGGAUUAAUACCUCAUAGUAUAUAUGAAUGGCAUCAUUUAUAUAUUAAAGUCACAACGGCAAAAGAUGAGCAUGCGUCCCAUUAGCUAGAUGGUAAGGUAACGGCUUACCAUGGCUACGAUGGGUAGGGGUCCUGAGAGGGAGAUCCCCCACACUGGUACUGAGACACGGACCAGACUCCUACGGGAGGCAGCAGUGAGGAAUAUUGGACAAUGGGCGCAAGCCUGAUCCAGCCAUGCCGCGUGCAGGAUGACGGUCCUAUGGAUUGUAAACUGCUUUUGUACGGGAAGAAACCCUCCUACGUGUAGGAGCUUGACGGUACCGUAAGAAUAAGGAUCGGCUAACUCCGUGCCAGCAGCCGCGGUAAUACGGAGGAUCCAAGCGUUAUCCGGAAUCAUUGGGUUUAAAGGGUCCGUAGGCGGUUGAGUAAGUCAGUGGUGAAAGCCCAUCGCUCAACGGUGGAACGGCCAUUGAUACUGCUAGACUUGAAUUAUUAGGAAGUAACUAGAAUAUGUAGUGUAGCGGUGAAAUGCUUAGAGAUUACAUGGAAUACCAAUUGCGAAGGCAGGUUACUACUAAUGGAUUGACGCUGAUGGACGAAAGCGUGGGUAGCGAACAGGAUUAGAUACCCUGGUAGUCCACGCCGUAAACGAUGGAUACUAGCUGUUGGGCGCAAGUUCAGUG